This 296-nucleotide long non-coding RNA is filed under the name Capsella rubella. RNAcentral describes it as "long non-coding RNA (CRUB_LNC005157)". The record is from RNAcentral. Lineage: Eukaryota; Viridiplantae; Streptophyta; Magnoliopsida; Brassicales; Brassicaceae.
UUAGAGAUAGAGAGAAAGAGUGGAUGGUGGUGGUGGGAGGUGUCUCGAUAGGUGUGGUAAAGAGUAAGAAGAAGAGGGAGGAGACAAGGUAAAGGGAGAUUGGGGACACUUGCUUCUCUGCACUGCACAGCACUCUUCUUGCUUCUUCUUCUUCAUUGCACCUCUCCCAAUCUCUCUCUCUUCUAUUCUUUAUUUUAUUUCUUUUUCUCUUCUUUCCUUUUUUUAAUUUAUACGCCACACCAAAAGACUCACAUUUCUUGUUAUUUUCAUGUUUACUAACAAUAAGAAGAAAAAAG